UACGGGGGGGGCUAGCGUUGCUCGGAAUCACUGGGCGUAAAGGGUGCGUAGGCGGGUCUUUAAGUCAGGGGGGAAAUCCUGGAGCUCAACUCCAGAACUGCCUUUGAUACUGAGGAUCUUGAGUUCGGGAGAGGUGAGUGGAACUGCGAGUGUAGAGGUGAAAUUCGUAGAUAUUCGCAAGAACACCAGUGGCGAAGGCGGCUCACUGGCCCGAUACUGACGCUGAGGCACGAAAGCGUGGGGAGCAAACAGG
Molecule: ribosomal RNA, 253 nt
Filed under: uncultured bacterium
Lineage: Bacteria
Description: partial 16S ribosomal RNA
Rfam family: Bacterial small subunit ribosomal RNA
Source: RNAcentral